This is a small nuclear RNA of Elaeis guineensis (African oil palm), 104 nucleotides long. NCBI's taxonomy places the organism in Eukaryota, Viridiplantae, Streptophyta, Magnoliopsida, Arecales, Arecaceae. The record is from RefSeq and is a predicted model, not a curated record.
GUCUCCUCGGAGACAUCCGAUAGAAUUAGAGCGAUAUAGAGAAGAUUAGCAUGGCCUUAGCAUGCGUGGAUGACACACACAAUUGAGAAAUGGUUCCUUUUUUU